CGGGGUGUAGCGCAGUCUGGUAGCGCACUACACUGGGGGUGUAGUGGUCGUCGGUUCAAAUCCGGCCGCCCCGACCA
RNAcentral lists this transfer RNA (77 nucleotides) under Porticoccaceae bacterium. RNAcentral's name for it is "tRNA-Pro". It matches the Rfam family "tRNA". Rfam says of the family: Transfer RNA (tRNA) molecules are approximately 80 nucleotides in length. The record is from RNAcentral. Lineage: Bacteria; Pseudomonadati; Pseudomonadota; Gammaproteobacteria; Cellvibrionales; Porticoccaceae.